Molecule: small nucleolar RNA, 213 nt
Filed under: Dasypus novemcinctus (nine-banded armadillo)
Lineage: Eukaryota; Metazoa; Chordata; Mammalia; Cingulata; Dasypodidae
Description: Small nucleolar RNA U3 (ENSDNOG00000028960.2)
Rfam family: Small nucleolar RNA U3
About the family: Small nucleolar RNAs (snoRNAs) are involved in the processing and modification of rRNA in the nucleolus. There are two main classes of snoRNAs: the box C/D class, and the box H/ACA class. U3 snoRNA is a member of the box C/D class.
Source: RNAcentral
AAGACUAUAUUUUCAGGGAUCAUUUCUAUAGUUCGUUACUAGAGAAGGUUCUCUGAACGUGUAGGGCACCAAAAGCCAUGAAGAGGAGGCACAGCGUUCUCUCCUGAGUGUGAAGCCGCCUCUAGGUGUUGCUUUGUGCAACGGCCUUUUGCCAUUGAUGAUUGUUCUUCUCUUCCUUUGGAAGAGUAAGAGGGAGAGAACGCAGUGAGUGGU